UGGCUCCCGGGGAGGAUGGACCCUGCUCGGCGCUCGCCCGGGCUUCCCCGGGCUGGAGAGCGCGCCUGAGUGCCGCCGCCCGCCGGGCAUGGGGAGCCGCUUCCUGGGCGGCUGCAGUAGCGGAGGAGGAUGCCCUCGGCGAGUUGCGCACUGGAAAGGAGUGAGUGAAAUGUGCAGCUCGGGGUGUUGUUUCUGAGGGAAGGAGUCGUUCCCUGGGAGAGGAGUCCUCGAUGAGCCUGGCCGAGGCCCGGGAUCUGUGUGAAGUGGACUAAGGAUUUAGUAGGAUGUCAACUGAGACAGAACUUCAAGUAGCUGUGAAAACCAGCACCAAGAAAGACUCCAGAAAGAAAGGAGUGUGUUUAAGCUUCUCACUGGCUGUCCCAGUGUUCUCAAGGUCAUUGGCUGUACAAAACACUAAACCUUUAAAUUCUUCGUUUACAAAAUUAUUCAGCUCCAGCAGGCUAGACAAUUUUAAAAGGUUGGCCUCUAAAGGAGCCAUCUGGAUAUAAGAGGAAGCUGUGUACAUUCUCACCAAAUAUCCCAUGAAUCUCAGCAUUUCAAUAAGUUCUAAGGAUGCUUGUCAUUAACGGUGAUAUCAAGUAAGUAUAAUUACUGGGUUUUCAGAAAUGGCCCUGAAAGCUGGCAACCCCAAAGCCCAUUUUUUUUUCUUCUUGCACCAGUGCCUUUCACUUCAAAAAACGAUUUCAUGUUUACACAGACAAUUGACUGUUUAACCCAGCUUAUUAAAGGGAUGGUCAUUCACA
This is a non-coding RNA of Manis javanica (Malayan pangolin), 764 nucleotides long. NCBI's taxonomy places the organism in Eukaryota, Metazoa, Chordata, Mammalia, Pholidota, Manidae. The record is from RefSeq and is a predicted model, not a curated record.